This 23-nucleotide microRNA is filed under the name Octopus bimaculoides (California two-spot octopus). Its description in RNAcentral is "Obi-Mir-12519_3p (mature (co-guide))". Lineage: Eukaryota; Metazoa; Mollusca; Cephalopoda; Octopoda; Octopodidae. The record is from RNAcentral.
UGCUCUGUCGUACCAAGAAGACA